CAAAGGUUAUGAACUUCAAGAACUAUAUUAAACUAAAUGUCUUUCAUCGUUGUGGUAUCGUUGUUCGGAGCGUACAUCAAAGAUAAAGUUCAAACGUUAGAUUAGAAAA
Molecule: ribosomal RNA, 109 nt
Filed under: Palpitomonas bilix
Lineage: Eukaryota
Description: partial Trypanosomatid mitochondrial large subunit ribosomal RNA
Source: RNAcentral